Molecule: ribosomal RNA, 801 nt
Filed under: uncultured bacterium
Lineage: Bacteria
Description: bacterial SSU rRNA
Rfam family: Bacterial small subunit ribosomal RNA
Source: RNAcentral
GAGUUUGAUCCUGGCUCAGGAUGAACGCUAGCGGCAGGCUUAACACAUGCAAGUCGAGGGGCAGCAUGUCCAGCAAUGGAUGAUGGCGACCGGCGGAAGGGUGCGUAACGCGUGAGCAACAUGCCCUAUACAGGGAGAUACACCAGGGAAACUUGGUCUAAUAUCCCAUAGCAUUCAUUGAAGGCAUCUUUAAUGAAUUAAAGCUUCGGUGGUAUAGGAUUGGCUCGCGUGACAUUAGCCAGAUGGUGAGGUAACGGCUCACCAUAGCAAUGAUGUCUAGGGGUUUUGAGAGGAAGGCCCCCCACACUGGGACUGAGACACGGCCCAGACUCCUACGGGAGGCAGCAGUGAGGAAUAUUGGACAAUGGAUGGAAAUCUGAUCCAGCCAUGCCGCGUGCAGGAAGACGGCCUUAUGGGUUGUAAACUGCUUUUAUACGGGAGCAAUAAGGGUUACGAGUAAUCCGAUGAGAGUACUGUAUGAAUAAGGAUCGGCUAACUCCGUGCCAGCAGCCGCGGUAAUACGGAGGAUCCGAGCGUUAUCCGGAAUUAUUGGGUUUAAAGGGUGCGUAGGCGGCCAUUUAAGUCAGCGGUGAAAUUUUGCAGCUUAACUGUAACAGUGCCGUUGAUACUGUUUGGCUAGGAUUUGGUUGUAGUGUGCGGAAUGUGUGGUGUAGCGGUGAAAUGCUUAGAUAUCACACAGAACACCGAUUGCGAAGGCAGCACACUAAGUCAUUAUUGACGCUGAGGCACGAAAGUGUGGGGAUCAAACAGGAUUAGAUACCCUGGUAGUCCACACUGUAA